This 504-nucleotide long non-coding RNA is filed under the name Androctonus crassicauda. Lineage: Eukaryota; Metazoa; Arthropoda; Arachnida; Scorpiones; Buthidae. The record is from RNAcentral.
GUCGCUGAGUAAGCUUUCUGGGUCGGCCUGUGCUUUUCUUUGUAUUAUAGAGAUCACCAGAUCUCAGAAAGUUGCAAAUUAUAUUUUUAGACCGUCCAAUUCGUCUGCAUGUUUCUCUAGCUGAGAGUCCAUGUACUGUGUAGGCAAAUAUUCGUCCUUUUUCAUACAUUGUUAAGGAUGAACCACGGAGCAUAUUGUUUGUGAAUGACAGGCACUCUGAAAAUCGUUUACCAUACAGAGGAGUUUCAUUUCUUCACACACUACAGAUAGGAAGCUCAUUUAAAUGUAUCAGUAGCAUGUGCAAAGUUUGGACGUGGUCCAUUCAUGGACUUUCAGGAGGUGUCCCUAUGUUUAUGGGACAGCAGAAUGCACACUUUUGCAUUUUUAAAGGUAACAGUGGUCAACAUCUGGUAAUUACUAUACAUGUUGUAACACACAUAAAUGUGUGUGUCAAUAAAUGUUACUGUAAUUAUUGUAUAACAGUGUUGUGCUUUGUUCUUCCAU